UGACAUCAGUUAAACGGCCGCGGUAUCCUGACCGUGCAAAGGUAGCAUAAUCACUUGUUCUUUAAAUAAGGACUAGUAUGAAUGGCCACACGAGGGUUUAACUGUCUCUUACUUCCAAUCAGUGAAAUUGACCUUCCCGUGAAGAGGCGGGAAUAAAACAAUAAGACGAGAAGACCCUAUGGAGCUUCAAUUAACUGACCCAAUAUAGAUUGACCAUAUUUAACCAACCAGGGAUAUCAUAACUCUAUAUCUGGAUUAGCAAUUUAGGUUGGGGUGACCUCGGAGAAAAAACCAUCCUCCGAGUGAUACAAUUCUAGACUUACUAGUCGAAACGCUCUAUCAUUUAUUGAUCCAAAAUUUUUGAUCAACGGAAUAAGUUACCCUAGGGAUAACAGCGCAAUCCUAUUCAAGAGUCCAUAUCAACAAUAGGGUUUACGACCUCGAUGUUGGAUCAGGACAUCCUAAUGGUGCAGCAGCUAUAAGGGUUCGUU
This 491-nucleotide ribosomal RNA is filed under the name Ailurus fulgens (lesser panda). Its description in RNAcentral is "partial 16S ribosomal RNA". It matches the Rfam family "Bacterial large subunit ribosomal RNA", at positions 1914 to 2577 of the family's 2925-position model. The record is from RNAcentral. Lineage: Eukaryota; Metazoa; Chordata; Mammalia; Carnivora; Ailuridae.